CAAGGAAUUUUCCCCAAUGGGCGCAAGCCUGAGGGAGCAACGCCGCGUGCAGGACGACGGCCUUCGGGUUGUAAACUGCUUUUGCGUGGGACGAUAACGCCGGUACCACGCGAAUCAGCCCCGGCUAACUCCGUGCCAGCAGCCGCGGUAAAACAGAGGGGGCAAGCGUUGUCCGGACUUACUGGGCGUAAAGCGCACGCAGGUGGUAACGCAAGUGGGGGGUGAAAGCCGCCAGCUCAACUGGCGGAGGGCAUCCCAAACUGCGUCACUUGAGGCCUGUAGAGGUAUGUGGAAUUGCCGGUGUAGUGGUGAAAUGCGUAGAGAUCGGCAGGAACACCCAGGGGGAAACCAGCAUACUGGACAGGUCCUGACAUUCAGGUGCGACAGCGUGGGGCGCGAACCGGAUUAGAUACCCCCGUAGUCC
RNAcentral lists this ribosomal RNA (424 nucleotides) under uncultured prokaryote. RNAcentral's name for it is "bacterial SSU rRNA". It matches the Rfam family "Bacterial small subunit ribosomal RNA", at positions 355 to 796 of the family's 1533-position model. The record is from RNAcentral.